Molecule: ribosomal RNA, 435 nt
Filed under: uncultured bacterium
Lineage: Bacteria
Description: bacterial SSU rRNA
Rfam family: Bacterial small subunit ribosomal RNA
Source: RNAcentral
AUUGAACGCUGGCGGCAUGGCUAAUGCAUGCAAGUCGAACGAAAGCCCUUCGGGGCGAAAGUGGCGAAAGGGCGAGUAAUACGAUCGAACGUACCCCAAGGUGGAGGAUAGUGUCGGGAAACUGACGGUAAUACUCCAUGUGCUCUUCGGAGGAAAGCUUUGGCGCCUCGGGAGCGGCGAUCGUCCUAUCAGGUAGUUGGUGAGGUAAUGGCUCACCAAGCCGAAGACGGGUAGCGGUGUGAGAGCAUGACCCGCCGCAUCGGGACUGAGACACUGCCCGGACUCCUACGGGAGGCAGCAGUGGGGAAUAUUGCACAAUGGGCGAAAGCCUGAUGCAGCGACGCCGCGUGAGUGAAGAAGUAUUUCGGUAUGUAAAGCUCUAUCAGCAGGGAAGAAAAUGACGGUACCUGACUAAGAAGCCCGGCUAACUACGUG